RNAcentral lists this ribosomal RNA (252 nucleotides) under uncultured prokaryote. RNAcentral's name for it is "partial 16S ribosomal RNA". It matches the Rfam family "Bacterial small subunit ribosomal RNA", at positions 526 to 777 of the family's 1533-position model. The record is from RNAcentral.
CGGAGGGUGCAAGCGUUGUCCGGAUUUAUUGGGUUUAAAGGGUGCGUAGGCGGCCCGUUAAGUCAGUGGUGAAAUCCCAGGGCUCAACCCUGGAACUGCCAUUGAUACUGACGGGCUUGAGUUCGGUUAAGGCGGGCGGAACUGGUGGUGUAGCGGUGAAAUGCAUAGAUACCACCAAGAACCCCGAUUGCGUAGGCAGCUCGCUGAGCCGAAACUGACGCUGAGGCACGAAAGCGUGGGGAGCGAACAGGA